This 649-nucleotide ribosomal RNA is filed under the name Epicoccum nigrum. Its description in RNAcentral is "LSU rRNA". It matches the Rfam family "Eukaryotic large subunit ribosomal RNA", at positions 30 to 697 of the family's 3401-position model. Lineage: Eukaryota; Fungi; Ascomycota; Dothideomycetes; Pleosporales; Didymellaceae. The record is from RNAcentral.
GAACUUAGCAUAUCAAUAAGCGGAGGAAAAGAAACCAACAGGGAUUGCCCUAGUAACGGCGAGUGAAGCGGCAACAGCUCAAAUUUGAAAUCUGGCGUCUUUGGCGUCCGAGUUGUAAUUUGCAGAGGGCGCUUUGGCAUUGGCAGCGGUCCAAGUUCCUUGGAACAGGACGUCACAGAGGGUGAGAAUCCCGUACGUGGUCGCUAGCCUUUACCGUGUAAAGCCCCUUCGACGAGUCGAGUUGUUUGGGAAUGCAGCUCUAAAUGGGAGGUAAAUUUCUUCUAAAGCUAAAUACUGGCCAGAGACCGAUAGCGCACAAGUAGAGUGAUCGAAAGAUGAAAAGCACUUUGGAAAGAGAGUUAAAAAGCACGUGAAAUUGUUGAAAGGGAAGCGCUUGCAGCCAGACUUGCCUGUAGUUGCUCAUCCGGGUUUCUACCCGGUGCACUCUUCUACGGGCAGGCCAGCAUCAGUUUGGGCGGUUGGAUAAAGGUCUCUGUCAUGUACCUCCUUUCGGGGAGAUCUUAUAGGGGAGACGACAUGCAACCAGCCUGGACUGAGGUCCGCGCAUCUGCUAGGAUGCUGGCGUAAUGGCUGUAAGCGGCCCGUCUGAAACACGACCAUGGAGUGUAACAUCUAUGCGAGUGUUUGG